Molecule: ribosomal RNA, 550 nt
Filed under: uncultured bacterium
Lineage: Bacteria
Description: partial 16S ribosomal RNA
Rfam family: Bacterial small subunit ribosomal RNA
Source: RNAcentral
UGGGGAAUUUUGGACAAUGGGCGCAAGCCUGAUCCAGCCAUGCCGCGUGAGUGAAGAAGGCCUUCGGGUUGUAAAGCUCUUUCGGCUGGGAAGAAAUCGCACUCUCUAAUACAGGGUGUGGAUGACGGUACCAGCAUAAGGAGCACCGGCUAACUACGUGCCAGCAGCCGCGGUAAUACGUAGGGUGCGAGCGUUAUUCGGAAUUACUGGGCGUAAAGCGUGCGCAGGCGGUUGUGUAAGACAGACGUGAAAUCCCCGGGCUCAACCUGGGAACUGCGUUUGUGACUGCACGGCUAGAGUACGGCAGAGGGGGUGGAAUUCCACGUGUAGGCAGUGAAAUGCGUAGAGAUGUGGAGGAACACCGAUGGCGAAGGCAGCCCCCUGGGCCAGUACUGACGCUCCAUGGCCACGAAAGCGUGGGGAGCAAACAGGAUUAGAUACCCUGGUAGGUCCAACGCCCUAAACGAUCGUCAACUAGCUGUUGGUGGGGUUAAACCCCAAUUAGUAGCGUNUGGCUAACGCGUGAAGUUGACCGCCUGGGGGAGUACGG